Molecule: ribosomal RNA, 2904 nt
Filed under: Escherichia coli
Lineage: Bacteria; Pseudomonadati; Pseudomonadota; Gammaproteobacteria; Enterobacterales; Enterobacteriaceae
Description: 23S ribosomal RNA
Rfam family: Bacterial large subunit ribosomal RNA
Source: RNAcentral
UUAAGCGACUAAGCGUACACGGUGGAUGCCCUGGCAGUCAGAGGCGAUGAAGGACGUGCUAAUCUGCGAUAAGCGUCGGUAAGGUGAUAUGAACCGUUAUAACCGGCGAUUUCCGAAUGGGGAAACCCAGUGUGAUUCGUCACACUAUCAUUAACUGAAUCCAUAGGUUAAUGAGGCGAACCGGGGGAACUGAAACAUCUAAGUACCCCGAGGAAAAGAAAUCAACCGAGAUUCCCCCAGUAGCGGCGAGCGAACGGGGAGCAGCCCAGAGCCUGAAUCAGUGUGUGUGUUAGUGGAAGCGUCUGGAAAGGCGCGCGAUACAGGGUGACAGCCCCGUACACAAAAAUGCACAUGCUGUGAGCUCGAUGAGUAGGGCGGGACACGUGGUAUCCUGUCUGAAUAUGGGGGGACCAUCCUCCAAGGCUAAAUACUCCUGACUGACCGAUAGUGAACCAGUACCGUGAGGGAAAGGCGAAAAGAACCCCGGCGAGGGGAGUGAAAAAGAACCUGAAACCGUGUACGUACAAGCAGUGGGAGCACAGAGCAAUCUGUGUGACUGCGUACCUUUUGUAUAAUGGGUCAGCGACUUAUAUUCUGUAGCAAGGUUAACCGAAUAGGGGAGCCGAAGGGAAACCGAGUCUUAACUGGGCGUUAAGUUGCAGGGUAUAGACCCGAAACCCGGUGAUCUAGCCAUGGGCAGGUUGAAGGUUGGGUAACACUAACUGGAGGACCGAACCGACUAAUGUUGAAAAAUUAGCGGAUGACUUGUGGCUGGGGGUGAAAGGCCAAUCAAACCGGGAGAUAGCUGGUUCUCCCCGAAAGCUAUUUAGGUAGCGCCUCGUGAAUUCAUCUCCGGGGGUAGAGCACUGUUUCGGCAAGGGGGUCAUCCCGACUUACCAACCCGAUGCAAACUGCGAAUACCGGAGAAUGUUAUCACGGGAGACACACGGCGGGUGCUAACGUCCGUCGUGAAGAGGGAAACAACCCAGACCGCCAGCUAAGGUCCCAAAGUCAUGGUUAAGUGGGAAACGAUGUGGGAAGGCCCAGACAGCCAGGAUGUUGGCUUAGAAGCAGCCAUCAUUUAAAGAAAGCGUAAUAGCUCACUGGUCGAGUCGGCCUGCGCGGAAGAUGUAACGGGGCUAAACCAUGCACCGAAGCUGCGGCAGCGACGCUGAUGCGUUGUUGGGUAGGGGAGCGUUCUGUAAGCCUGUGAAGGUGUACUGUGAGGUAUGCUGGAGGUAUCAGAAGUGCGAAUGCUGACAUAAGUAACGAUAAAGCGGGUGAAAAGCCCGCUCGCCGGAAGACCAAGGGUUCCUGUCCAACGUUAAUCGGGGCAGGGUGAGUCGACCCCUAAGGCGAGGCCGAAAGGCGUAGUCGAUGGGAAACAGGUUAAUAUUCCUGUACUUGGUGUUACUGCGAAGGGGGGACGGAGAAGGCUAUGUUGGCCGGGCGACGGUUGUCCCGGUUUAAGCGUGUAGGCUGGUUUUCCAGGCAAAUCCGGAAAAUCAAGGCUGAGGCGUGAUGACGAGGCACUACGGUGCUGAAGCAACAAAUGCCCUGCUUCCAGGAAAAGCCUCUAAGCAUCAGGUAACAUCAAAUCGUACCCCAAACCGACACAGGUGGUCAGGUAGAGAAUACCAAGGCGCUUGAGAGAACUCGGGUGAAGGAACUAGGCAAAAUGGUGCCGUAACUUCGGGAGAAGGCACGCUGAUAUGUAGGUGAAGUCCCUCGCGGAUGGAGCUGAAAUCAGUCGAAGAUACCAGCUGGCUGCAACUGUUUAUUAAAAACACAGCACUGUGCAAACACGAAAGUGGACGUAUACGGUGUGACGCCUGCCCGGUGCCGGAAGGUUAAUUGAUGGGGUUAGCGCAAGCGAAGCUCUUGAUCGAAGCCCCGGUAAACGGCGGCCGUAACUAUAACGGUCCUAAGGUAGCGAAAUUCCUUGUCGGGUAAGUUCCGACCUGCACGAAUGGCGUAAUGAUGGCCAGGCUGUCUCCACCCGAGACUCAGUGAAAUUGAACUCGCUGUGAAGAUGCAGUGUACCCGCGGCAAGACGGAAAGACCCCGUGAACCUUUACUAUAGCUUGACACUGAACAUUGAGCCUUGAUGUGUAGGAUAGGUGGGAGGCUUUGAAGUGUGGACGCCAGUCUGCAUGGAGCCGACCUUGAAAUACCACCCUUUAAUGUUUGAUGUUCUAACGUUGACCCGUGAUCCGGGUUGCGGACAGUGUCUGGUGGGUAGUUUGACUGGGGCGGUCUCCUCCUAAAGAGUAACGGAGGAGCACGAAGGUUGGCUAAUCCUGGUCGGACAUCAGGAGGUUAGUGCAAUGGCAUAAGCCAGCUUGACUGCGAGCGUGACGGCGCGAGCAGGUGCGAAAGCAGGUCAUAGUGAUCCGGUGGUUCUGAAUGGAAGGGCCAUCGCUCAACGGAUAAAAGGUACUCCGGGGAUAACAGGCUGAUACCGCCCAAGAGUUCAUAUCGACGGCGGUGUUUGGCACCUCGAUGUCGGCUCAUCACAUCCUGGGGCUGAAGUAGGUCCCAAGGGUAUGGCUGUUCGCCAUUUAAAGUGGUACGCGAGCUGGGUUUAGAACGUCGUGAGACAGUUCGGUCCCUAUCUGCCGUGGGCGCUGGAGAACUGAGGGGGGCUGCUCCUAGUACGAGAGGACCGGAGUGGACGCAUCACUGGUGUUCGGGUUGUCAUGCCAAUGGCACUGCCCGGUAGCUAAAUGCGGAAGAGAUAAGUGCUGAAAGCAUCUAAGCACGAAACUUGCCCCGAGAUGAGUUCUCCCUGACCCUUUAAGGGUCCUGAAGGAACGUUGAAGACGACGACGUUGAUAGGCCGGGUGUGUAAGCGCAGCGAUGCGUUGAGCUAACCGGUACUAAUGAACCGUGAGGCUUAACCUU